Long non-coding RNA from Nicotiana tabacum (common tobacco), 881 nucleotides. RefSeq lists it as uncharacterized. Lineage: Eukaryota; Viridiplantae; Streptophyta; Magnoliopsida; Solanales; Solanaceae. The record is from RefSeq and is a predicted model, not a curated record.
CUUUUUGAAAUGUCUUCUUCUUCACAGGCUUUAGGAGACCCUUCCAUUUCCUCUCCAAACCAACAACCAUGGCUUCACCCUCCUCACCACCAAAUCCUUCAGCACACGCCACUUAACUCCCCUUCUUCAUCUAUCACUUCCUCACAGCUACCAAAUCACUGGAAAUCUGGCAUUCAUCAGCUCCCCCUUUCUCUUCGAUUUUUUUUAUCUCAUCUCUAACCUUGGAAAAAUGGAAACAAAGACCUGACAAGCUUGGAGACCAAAAGCACUAGAAAAACCGAAUUUCAAAGAAGAUCUGAAAAGGAGUUUGGUCGCUGAAAUGUUAAAAUUCGACUUCCUCCUUUCUCUGGGCUCGUAUGAAGUUGUGAAUGGACUGUGUGUUGCUGAACUUCCUGUUCCCAAUUUAUAAAGUUCUAUUCAUCUUCAUCGCUAUCUUUACUUGGUUAUUUGGGACUGUAUUACUGCCGCUAAGGCGAAACACAUCUUGAGAGUACAAAAAUCUUUGCUAGGAAGUUGGCUUAUCGUUACAGCGCAAGGACCAACCAAACUCUUGAAGAGCGCGAAGCACGCCAAUCAUUCAUUUAAAAAGUUCAUGGGAAAAGUUCUUCUGCAUAGUUCAUUACUAAUAAGGUUUUCUGGCAUGUUAGAUCAACAAUGUCUUGAUUCAACUUUAUGCCAAAAGAGGGGAUGCAGUCAUUAAUCUUGCUUGCGGGAAGGUAGUUCUUGCCUAUUGUGUAUCUCAAUUAUCUGGCAGUACGACCUGUUAAUUUAUUUAGGUGGUAAUAAACAAGUCGCAUUGUUCAAAUGUCUUUCUAUUUAAACCAUGGUGAUGAUCUUAUUAAAUGAGAUAAAGCAAAGAUUGGAUAUGAUGUUGGGAUUGA